This is a long non-coding RNA of Sapajus apella (tufted capuchin), 2242 nucleotides long. RefSeq lists it as uncharacterized. Lineage: Eukaryota; Metazoa; Chordata; Mammalia; Primates; Cebidae. The record is from RefSeq and is a predicted model, not a curated record. The transcript is spliced from 2 exons.
AAUAAAAUAAGCCACAUAAAUGAAAAAAAAAUUUAAGUCUCUUUUUUUUUUUUUUAAGGAGAAGAGAAAAUUAGACUAGGUUUGAAAAUCUCAGCUGCGGAAAUCUGGCCCAGACCUUGCCUCUUGGUAGGACUAUAUAUAUAGUGCUUCCAGCAGUAGACUGAAUAGAAGCAGACAUCCACUGCCUUCGGCAAAACAGGGGGAGCUGGAGGGAGGGAUCUAUAGCAGCGACUGCAGCAAUGAAGACAGGUCAGUUUACCUGCUAGAAACAGAAAUGCUCUCAGAAGGUUCAGGAUAUGACUGGAAAACUUGAUUGCAUCUACCUUAGUUUGUACAAGUGGUGAGUCUUGGAAUAUACAUUCCCUGAUUAGUUUAGAUCAAAAUGGAGCUGACACUCAGGAUCUCCUGUAAUACUAACCCACAUGCUUUCCACGGUGCACAUCUAUUUGUCCACAGCCCACACUCUGUUUUCCUGCUAUAAUGUAUUCUUUGAGCAUGGUUUUGGUGGGUGAUGGGAAAUAUUCUGAGCCAAGGCAAGAUGCUUUUCUCGAAAGAAGGUGGUCGUAUUGCUAAGGAAAAAUAUUCAUGCACGUGAUCACCAAUCUGGAGAUUUUUCCCCCAAGUCCCAGAAGACCAGGUAGCUACAAGUAUGAAGAGAGGACAUAUUACCAACCCAGAGUUUGAACAUUUAAUUAAGCUCAGUAAGAUUUAGCAUUUCUAUGAAAGGAACUACAGUAGAACUUCAACCCUGCUUUUGUUUAUACCAAAUAAAGGACUCAUCUUCUUAACGUAUUGGAUUUCAUUAUUUGCAUAACUUUUUACUGACCCAGUUUGCCAAAAAACUUGCUGUUUGGUCAGCCUAUCAGAAAUCAGUAAAACGUGUUCUCUGAUCGCAUGUAUCAAAGACUUUGAGUGGCAGUCCUACACCAGUAUGGCUUUUGACCUGGUUAUGUUGUAUUCCUGCCUCUUGAUAAGAAUAUAUUCAUCAGACAUAUUUGAUCUGUGUGCCAAUGAAGGGUAGAAAUUCGUUAAGGACAGCAUUAAGAGACAAUGGAAAGACAAAGUGCCAAGCACACUAUGUUUUCCAAAGCUUUACAUUGGAAAGCUUAAAUAUUAAUAGAUAGUAAAUAUAUAUUAAAUAGAUUUUAUGAUUAAAAACAAAAUGAUUUUUUGUUUUUUUCAUCUAACCAUUUUGACAAAUUCAGAUACUUUUCACUUAAUAUUUGAAUAUAUAAACCUAAUUUCUUCCAUGUUUUCUCCCCUCUGAAUCUUCUCUCCCUCUUUAGCUCACCAUUUGAAAGAUAUGUCAGUCCUAUUUUUAAAUAAGCAAUUACAUUAGUGAUAUGUGUGCAAUCAUCUUUAAGAUUAAAAGCCAAUUAACACUGGCUUGUCAGUCUCUCCGUAAAGCUGUUUUCCAUCUCAAAGGUUGUGAUCCAAGGUAAGGUCCAGAAACAACUGAGAUUGUUUUACAUCUAUGUAUUAGGUUGGUACAAAAGUAAUUGUGGUUUUUGCCCCUACUUUUAAUGGUAAAAACUGCAAUUACUUUUGCAGCAACCUAAUACAAUUCUAAGUAAUGGAGACAUAUCUUUUAUAGGCCUCAAUAAGCAACAGAUCAGCAUAAUGUAAAUAUCUGUAUUUCAUAGUGAGUUUGAAUAUUCCUUGUCAAAAAUGCACUUGUACUUUUAAGUUAUUAUGUGUGUUUAGGUUAUUGUAUUGUCAGAAGGCUGGAGUUAUCAUAGCAGAGUUUUUAUGACAAAAUAUUAUAAGCCUUGUAAAUAGUUAAAAAGAUUGUCCACUAAUGUCUAUUUGUCUUGCAAAAUUUGCAGCAGUUCUACUAGUAAUUUUCAUCACUUGCUCUUUCCACCUCUAAUCAUUCUCAGUCUCCUCCAUUAGAUCUUGCUGACUCAUCACAUAUAAACAGUUUCCUCGGCAGAAAGGGUCCGAUAAAAAUUGAAGACCAAGAGGUAGAGGCUGUUGGAGCCAUCAUGAAUUCCAGUCCUUUUGUUGUUAUUGACUUUUCUUUUUUUUUUUUUUUUUUAAAGGCACACCCUUGACUUUUUUUUAAUUGUUAAAAUGAACCAGUUUUUAAUUUCAGGCAGCAAAACCAGUUACUGCAAAAAGUCAAUAAUCAAAAAUCAAUGUAUAACUGGUUUUCAUCACCUGUAGAAUGUUAGGUUUAUCCCCCUCCAGUGCUUAGUGAUUCUAUUCUGUAGACCUAAAAAAUAUUGCCUCUUUUCUACUU